Molecule: ribosomal RNA, 296 nt
Filed under: uncultured bacterium
Lineage: Bacteria
Description: partial 16S ribosomal RNA
Rfam family: Bacterial small subunit ribosomal RNA
Source: RNAcentral
GGUAGUCCUAGCCCUAAACGAUCAGGACUUGGGGUGCAUCCCGACGGGGUGCGUCCCGUAGCUAACGCGUUAAGUCCUGCGCCUGGGGAGUACGGUCGCAAGACUGAAACUCAAAGGAAUUGACGGGGGCCCGCACAAGCGGUGGAACAUGUGGUUCAAUUCGACGCAACGCGAAGAACCUUACCUGGGCUUGAACCGCUACUGACCAGUGGUGGAAACAUCGCCUUCCCGCAAGGGACAGUAGUAGAGGUGCUGCAUGGCUGUCGUCAGCUCGUGCCGUGAGGUGUUGGGUUAAG